Molecule: long non-coding RNA, 1251 nt
Organism: Chelonia mydas (Green sea turtle)
Lineage: Eukaryota; Metazoa; Chordata; Testudines; Cheloniidae
Exons: 2
Source: RefSeq, a predicted model, not a curated record
UGAAGUGAACUGAGUAAUUGGGGAUUUUCCCUCCACUCCUCUAUAGGCAGUGUUUUACUAUUGUAACUAUGUUCACUGAAAUGGGUUCUGCUGUGUUACUGGCUGGUGGAGGAAACAAACCUGGAAAGAAUUAAAAGAAAAUAAGAGCAGUGGCUGGGGGACUGAGUGGGCAAAGGGAUAAGGAGCCUUUCAGCAACUUGAGUCAGUGCAGCCUUGAUCAGCAGUGAUGGAAAGGCCUUAGUAUCUGUCUCAGCAGACAAUCCAAGAGAAGAAAGAUGGUUCUUGUGGAGACAGCAUCAGACUGGGACUUGGACGACUGGCAUUCACUUGCUGGCUCAGACUUCCUCUGUGGCAUUGAACAAGUAAUUUCAUCUAUCCUUCACCUCAGUCAGCUGUCUAUAAAAUGAAAAUAACAUUUCCCUGUCUCAGAGGACUGCUGUAAAGAUAAAUUCCAUUAAUGAUUGUGAGUCAGUUAGAUAUUAUGGUAAUGAGGGCCACAUAGCUGUCAGCUCGAGAAAGAAUGAACUCCCUCCUGAUGAAAUGCUCCCUCUGAACUGAGCCAGGUGGUGAAGAAGUCGACUAGCCCAUGCUGUGUACCUGUUGUGUGAAGAGAGGACUUCAGUCCCCGCAGCUGUUGAUUUGGCACCUUUCACUAGCACUAAGUUCACUUUCAGAACUAGCUGAUAAGUAAUCGGGAGGAAAAAUCCUUUCUGAAGGCUGUGUGAAAUAAUAUCUACUGAACUUUGUCUGUAGACAGCUGGUAUCUUAGGAGAGGCUUGGUUUGAGUUGUGUUAUAUAACUGUGUUCUGUCUCUUUUCUUUAAUUCUCUUAUUUGGCUUUUGCUGCCCAUGCCAAGACCUUGUCAGUAUAGCCUGAGUUAGCAAAAGAACAUCUAGUGAUCAGGAACCAGGAAGGUGUGAGCUAUGUGCAAACGUUUCCAAUUACAUGCUUCAUUUGCCUUCUGGGAGGAACGCUCACCUGGACUCUUGUUCGUGCUUAGAGUGUGAUUGGGGACAUAGUGUGUGAGGAGACCUAUCCCUGGCACUCAUCCCACACCCAGCACCUGCCAGUGAAGCUAGCUGGCCACAGCAGGAUGUAGCACGCUCCCCUACCGUCAAGAAAGGGACCUGGACUCAUUGUAAGCAGCUCAAUAAAACCAGCGUACUGCUGUGGUAACAAAAAAAAAAAAAAAAAAAAAGCUAAGAUGUUAGGAUGAAAAAGGAAUGGGAUGGAAAAUAAUAUGGAGAAUCU